CGGAUGGAAGAUUUGCUGAUGUAACUUGGAGUAGCAUUGGUUGACUGCCGCCGAAACCGUGUGUAGGACAGAGAGCACAUGUAGAUGUAUAGUCAUCAUACUUGCGGUAGGUGCAGUAUCAAUUCUGAUGUCUACAUAAUUUUGCAGUGGUGGAUGAGAAGAUAGCUAAGCAAUUAAUUUAGGAAUCUCUAGUUAUUUAAGAAGGUAGAUAAUCGAUCGGCUUGGGCUUGU
Molecule: long non-coding RNA, 231 nt
Filed under: Setaria viridis
Lineage: Eukaryota; Viridiplantae; Streptophyta; Magnoliopsida; Poales; Poaceae
Description: long non-coding RNA (SVIR_LNC001622)
Source: RNAcentral